Molecule: ribosomal RNA, 219 nt
Filed under: uncultured bacterium
Lineage: Bacteria
Description: partial 16S ribosomal RNA
Rfam family: Bacterial small subunit ribosomal RNA
Source: RNAcentral
AUUGAACGCUGGCGGCAGGCCUAACACAUGCAAGUCGAGCGGUAGCACAGAGAGCUUGCUCUCGGGUGACGAGCGGCGGACGGGUGAGUAAUGUCUGGGAAACUGCCUGAUGGAGGGGGAUAACUACUGGAAACGGUAGCUAAUACCGCAUAAUGUCGCAAGACCAAAGGAGGGGGACCUUCGGGCCUCUUGCCAUCAGAUGUGCCCAGAUGGGAUUAG